This 510-nucleotide ribosomal RNA is filed under the name uncultured bacterium. RNAcentral's name for it is "partial 16S ribosomal RNA". It matches the Rfam family "Bacterial small subunit ribosomal RNA", at positions 28 to 507 of the family's 1533-position model. The record is from RNAcentral.
GACGAACGCUGGCGGCGUGCUUAACACAUGCAAGUCGAACGAAGAGCGAUGGACGCUUGCUUCUAUCAAUCUUAGUGGCGAACGGGUGAGUAACGCGUAAUCAACCUGCCCUUCAGAGGGGGACAACAGUUGGAAACGACUGCUAAUACCGCAUACGAUCUAAUCUCGGCAUCGAGGAUAGAUGAAAGGUGGCCUCUACAUGUAAGCUAUCACUGAAGGAGGGGAUUGCGUCUGAUUAGCUAGUUGGAGGGGUAACGGCCCACCAAGGCGAUGAUCAGUAGCCGGUCUGAGAGGAUGAACGGCCACAUUGGGACUGAGACACGGCCCAGACUCCUACGGGAGGCAGCAGUGGGGAAUCUUCCGCAAGGGACGAAAGUCUGACGGAGCAACGCCGCGUGAGUGAGGACGGCCUUCGGGUUGUAAAGCUCUGUUAAUCGGGACGAAAGGCCUUCUUGCGAAUAGUGAGAAGGAUUGACGGUACCGGAAUAGAAAGCCACGGCUAACUACGUG